UUACUGACUACCUGAGAAGUACGAGUACGAGUGAGUUGAAAUCGAUAUGCAAUGAAAAAGAGGCCAUCUUACAGUAACAAACUGACAUCGUCCCUGUCUGUGAACGACUUGAGUCGAAUUUGAGCCGAAUUUGAGCUGAGACCUCUCUCGCCACAUCUUGUCUUCAUCGUCUUCAUCUUCGUCUUCACCUACCGGAUAACUUGAUCUUCUCCAAUAGCUUCUAGUAUACCAACAAAAUGACAUUGUGGAGGAGAUGUCGAGGUACUGUUUACAGAGUUGAAUAGCCAGUCCUCUCUGGACACGUGAUUCCUCCCGACACUUGAUUAAGCCGGAAUGAGCUCCAGAGUCAGUUUGAGACAGCCUUGCCGCGGAGAUCUGCCUAGUCGACCUACCGCGUGGAACGGCCUGGAUGAUCAUUGUCGAUAUACAGUACCGCGGAAAACUGCCUGAUUCACUACUGUAUGCUCUGUCGGAACUGGUCGUUGAUAUGGCCAGAAAACAACACUCCGGCCACCCACGGAACCAUGCCAGAACGAGCUCGGUAUAGGAGGGAAGGAUUGGAGACAAGACGUGAAUUCUCUCUCUUGUAAUUGUUCGUGGGUCUAAGAAUGAACAUCUAGAUGAACACCUCUCAGCGCGGCUGUUUAAGACACACGCUAGAAAGGAGCCACUGGUAGAGUAAA
Molecule: unclassified non-coding RNA, 683 nt
Filed under: Yarrowia lipolytica
Lineage: Eukaryota; Fungi; Ascomycota; Dipodascomycetes; Dipodascales
Source: RNAcentral